RNAcentral lists this ribosomal RNA (497 nucleotides) under uncultured bacterium. Its description in RNAcentral is "partial 16S ribosomal RNA". It matches the Rfam family "Bacterial small subunit ribosomal RNA", at positions 28 to 507 of the family's 1533-position model. The record is from RNAcentral.
GAUGAACGCUGGCGGAGUGCCUAAUACAUGCAAGUCGAGCGAACAGACGAGGAGCGUGCUCCUGUCACGUGAGCGGCGGGCGGGUGAGUAACACGUGGAUAACCUACCUAUAAGACUGGGAUAACUACGGGAAACCGGAGCUAAUACCGGAUAAUAUAGUGAACCGCAGGGAUCAAUAGUGAAAGACGGUUUGGCUGGCACGUAUAGAGGGAUCCGCGUCGCAUUAGCUAGUUGGUAAGGUAACGGCCUACCAAGGCGACGAUGCGUAGCCGACCUGAGAGGAUGAUCGGCCACACUGGAACUGAGACACGGUCCAGACUCCUACGGGAGGCAGCAGUGGGGAAUCUUCCACAAUGGGCGCAAGCCUGAUGCAGCCACGCCGCGUGAGUGAUGAAGGUCUUCGGGUCGUAAAGCUCUGUUGUUAGGGACGAACAAAUGUGUACGAAACUAUGCCCGUAUUGACGGUACCUAAAGAGAAAGCCCCGGCUAACUACGUG